GUCAAUUACCCCCUCCUGAAGGAGGAGGCUUGCAAAAGCCUUGAUUGACUAGCCUUGGUGCGUAGGCACUCCGUUCAAAAAGUCAGGAUACCUUCAAAUGCUUGCUCUAGUUUGAAGCACUAUCGCCUGCGAUUAAAUCGUUCUGAUGGGUAGGAGCCGUGUCACAGGCCGAACAAGCUUUUUGAACAUUGGCGAAGAGCACCUUAC
This is a non-coding RNA of Ktedonobacter sp. 13_2_20CM_53_11, 207 nucleotides long. The record is from Rfam. Lineage: Bacteria; Bacillati; Chloroflexota; Ktedonobacteria; Ktedonobacterales; Ktedonobacteraceae.